GGUCAGUGAUGAGGUGUAAAAGGUCUGAUCGCCCACAAUCCUCUGCUGCCUCUGGCUCCCAGCAGCUCGCUCUCUGCUCCCAUCAUGCUCCAGUGAUGCAGCCAUGGGCCCAGCAGCUGCUGACACACAGGAUGUGACAUCACAGGGAGGCUGCACUGAGAACCUGCAGUCUCUCUGUGAUGAUGAUUGACAUCCAACACAGCCAAUCAGAUCGGAGCGUCGGGCAGGAGAGGAGGAGGGAGCUGAUCUCAAGUUUUCAGUCUGAGACC
Molecule: non-coding RNA, 269 nt
Organism: Nematolebias whitei (Rio pearlfish)
Lineage: Eukaryota; Metazoa; Chordata; Actinopteri; Cyprinodontiformes; Rivulidae
Product: small Cajal body-specific RNA 6
Exons: 1
Source: RefSeq, a predicted model, not a curated record